GAAAUGCGAUAAGUAAUGUGAAUUGCAGAAUUCAGUGAAUCAUCGAAUCUUUGAACGCACCUUGCGCUCCUUGGUAUUCCUUGGAGCAUGCCUGUUUGAGUAUCAUGAAAUCUUCAAAGUAAAUCUUUUGUUAACUCAAUUGGUUUCUACUUUGGUAUUGGAGGUCUUUGCAGCUUCACACCUGCUCCUCUUUGUUCAUUAGCUGGAUCUCAGUGUUAUGCUUGGUUCCACUCGGCGUGAUAAGUUAUCUAUCGCUGAGGACACUGUAAAAGGUGGCCAAGGGAAAUGCAGAUGAACCGCUUCUAAUAGUCCAUUGACUUGGACAAGACUUUUAUGAUCUGAUCUCAAAUCAGGUAGGACUACCCGCUGAACUUAAGC
RNAcentral lists this unclassified non-coding RNA (378 nucleotides) under plant metagenome. Its description in RNAcentral is "partial contains 5.8S ribosomal RNA, internal transcribed spacer 2, and large subunit ribosomal RNA". The stretch from base 1 to 105 matches the Rfam family "5.8S ribosomal RNA", at positions 50 to 154 of the family's 154-position model. The record is from RNAcentral.